This is a long non-coding RNA of Schistocerca serialis cubense, 837 nucleotides long. RefSeq lists it as uncharacterized. The record is from RefSeq and is a predicted model, not a curated record. NCBI's taxonomy places the organism in Eukaryota, Metazoa, Arthropoda, Insecta, Orthoptera, Acrididae. The transcript is spliced from 3 exons.
GCAAAUAUUUGUGAUAUACGCAGUAAACACAUGUCAUACGAUCAAGAACGGCAACUGUGAAUCAUUACGCAGAGAGCACGCAGCACUCUGACCAAACACGCUGAGCUACUGUGCCGGCACCACUCAACUACCGUAGGCGGACAGCCACCGUCACUGACCAGAAUAAAAAGAAUAAGAAGGUUGUCACAUCCAAACACAACUGGGCACUGAAGCGGUACGAGGAGGUAUAUUGAACCAGGAAGACAGGUCUGAGAUUCUGUUGUCUGUACCACUACAACAGCAGCAUCCCACAGUUGGCCCACCAUAUUUAUUUGAUCUACAGUUUGAGUAUCUCACGCCACCACAGCAGCAGAUGCCUGAAUUAUGGGAUCAGGAAACACAGCAGAUGCAUGGAGUUUACUCAGCUUGCAGCCGCUGUCACGUGAUUCCUAAAUACUGCUCUUUGCCAAUAUUUAAAAUGUGACUGCCAAUGGAUCAGAACAUGUGAACGUAGCCUUGGCAGCAGAUAGUGACUUUGAUGUAAUAAUUGAAAUUGAAAAUGUUCAAUGUGUUGGUCUUAAGUGCAGUAUACAUGGCAUGAGCGGGACUGUUUGAGAAGCAAUGCUAAAAUUAACUUCUGGAGACUCGUACAUUUACAUUAAAUAUUUAAGUGUUGUGAACUAUACAGUGCAUUAAGCGACCGCGACAGGUUGAUUUGGUGGCAACAGAACGUCAGAGCUAUGUUCUAUGACUUAAUAACCUAUCCGAGUGGGUGUACUGAAUGAGUUCGAGCAGUUCAUAAAUUUCUAAAAUCUGUAGUUGUUUUCCCCAUAAUUACAAAAUCCAUAGAAACAGAAU